CCCCUCUCAAGGUUGCACCUGGAGAGUUUCCAGUACUCUACCAGUCUCCACUACUGGAGGGAGAGUCAAGUAGAGGUAUAUGCGUAUCCAUUCCAUUCCUAGCUUGGGCAGUGCCUAGCGAGUGGAAGGCAAUCUGCUACAAGU
Tachyglossus aculeatus (Australian echidna) is the source of this 144-nucleotide small nucleolar RNA. The record is from RefSeq and is a predicted model, not a curated record. NCBI's taxonomy places the organism in Eukaryota, Metazoa, Chordata, Mammalia, Monotremata, Tachyglossidae.